RNAcentral lists this ribosomal RNA (440 nucleotides) under Scaptomyza palmae. RNAcentral's name for it is "partial 12S ribosomal RNA". Lineage: Eukaryota; Metazoa; Arthropoda; Insecta; Diptera; Drosophilidae. The record is from RNAcentral.
UAUUAUUUAAAAGUAAUUAUAAAUACUAAAGUAGUAAUAGUUAUGUUCUUGAAACUUAAAAAAUUUGGCGGUAUUUUAGUCUAUCCAGAGGAACCUGUUUUGUAAUCGAUAAUCCACGAUGGACCUUACUUAAAUUUGUAAUCAGUUUAUAUACCGUCGUUAUCAGAAUAUUUUAUAAGAAUAAUAAUAUUCAGAAAUUUAUAUUAAAAUUUAUAUCAGAUCAAGGUGUAGCUUAUAUUUAAGUAAUAAUGGGUUACAAUAAAAUUAUUUAUACGGAUAAAAUUAUGCAAAAAUUUUUAAAGGUGGAUUUGGUAGUAAAAUUAUAAAGAUUAAUAAUUUGAUUUUAGCUCUAAAAUAUGUACACAUCGCCCGUCGCUCUUAUUAUUAAGGUAAGAUAAGUCGUAACAUAGUAGAUGUACUGGAAAGUGUAUCUAGAAUGA